RNAcentral lists this long non-coding RNA (634 nucleotides) under Aotus nancymaae (Ma's night monkey). Its description in RNAcentral is "lncRNA (ENSANAG00000039444.1)". The record is from RNAcentral. Lineage: Eukaryota; Metazoa; Chordata; Mammalia; Primates; Aotidae.
CUCCCACCAUGACCAUCAGACAAUGCAGAGCUGGAAAAAGAAGCAUACAUUCUAGUCCUGAGCAGCGGUUGAACUUCGGGGACGACAUCUCCAGCGCUCUUCGAAUCACGAAGCAGCGCUGAAACAGCAUCGAGGAGCGGUGCAUCCACCAGGAGAGCGAGCUGCACUCCUACCUCUUGAGGAUCCUUGCAGUGGAGCUUGAAAGGGAGCUGGAAUAGUGCCAGCGGAACCACGAGGGUGAUGAGGACGACAGCCACGUCUGGGCCCAGCAGGCCUGCAUUGAGGCCAAGCACGUGAGGGUGCCCCCCGCCCACAUGACAAAUAUAUGGCAGACAUGGAUGAGCUCUUCUCUCAGGUGGACGAGAAGAGGAAGAAGUGCGACAUCCCCGACUACCUGUGCGGCUGCUGAAAAAGCCUGGGGCAGUUCAAGUCAUGGAUCUCCCAUUUUGAUUCCUGUUUUGGUGGAAUACAAAGUAACCUAAGGCAGGUAAAGAUAGCACUUUCUCCAGAACUAUCCUCAAAAUUGAUGUUUUGUCUCAAUACACACAUGCACACACACACACAGACACACACACACCCAUGAUCCAGUGGGUAUGUGUAAAGAUGCCCCAAAAGAAUAAUUACAGAACAAUGU